RNAcentral lists this ribosomal RNA (252 nucleotides) under uncultured bacterium. RNAcentral's name for it is "partial 16S ribosomal RNA". It matches the Rfam family "Bacterial small subunit ribosomal RNA", at positions 524 to 776 of the family's 1533-position model. The record is from RNAcentral.
UACAGAGGUCCCGAGCGUUGUUCGGAUUCACUGGGCGUAAAGGGUGCGUAGGUGGCGAGGUAAGUCGGAUGUGAAAGCUCGGAGCUCAACUCCGAAAUGGCAUUGGAAACUACCUUGCUCGAGGGUUGGAGGGGGGACUGGAAUACUUGGUGUAGCAGUGAAAUGCGUAGAUAUCAAGUGGAACACCAGUGGCGAAGGCGAGUCCCUGGACAACUCCUGACACUGAGGCACGAAAGCUAGGGAGCAAACAGG